CAGGGAGAUGCAGUUUCGACCAAUCACAUCGGCGGAUGGAGAGCCCCGGUCAUCCGCCAAUCAGGGAGCAGGAUGCUGUGUAACCUCGCUACCUGUUACUAUAUAGAAGGGUCGAGAUCUGGCGGUUUUAGAGACGCUGGAAGACUUAGUCUGGUUGGAACUGACGCCGUUUUUUUCGUCUAAAAUCGAUAUUUUUUGUUCUUUCGUCAUAAGGCAGCCCCACAUAUCUGCAAGACAGCCGCCAGCACCGACAGUCGUUGCAAGCAAUUUUCACGCAAAAUCGACAAGCAAAGACACCGCUCCUCGGGACGUGCGAAUUAAGACUCCGCCUUCCCUCGCCCGCCCCUUCGCCGCCUGCCGCCGCGUCCGGAAUGUCUCUCGCAAGCGUCCUUGGGGCAGUGAUCAUCGGGGCGGCGUUGGUAACGCUGUCGACGGGUCAUGCAGUCAGGCACA
Penaeus monodon (black tiger shrimp) is the source of this 453-nucleotide long non-coding RNA. RefSeq lists it as uncharacterized. Lineage: Eukaryota; Metazoa; Arthropoda; Malacostraca; Decapoda; Penaeidae. The record is from RefSeq and is a predicted model, not a curated record. The transcript has 3 exons.